GCCAACAACAGAGCAAGGCAUGAUCUCCAACAGUCCACCACAUUGCCAUACUCUGAAAGACAUUUCUAUAUUUUCACCUCCCCAUAUUUCCAUUUCAUCAUCAUAGCUUCCAAUGUGUUCAAAAUACUCUUUUGAUAUUGAAAAGAGACCUCCAGCAAAAGUAGGUGUUCUGAUUGGAUAGGUUUCAUCUUUUCUUCUUUUAUUUUCAUAUUUAGGAAGAGACUCCCAUCCAAAUGACAAACUCCAGUCAAAAUUUCCUCUAUUGUGGUUAUGCCCAUAAGGAGAUGGUUUACUAAAUUCAAAAGUAUUGAGAUCGAUAGAAGCAAUAUCAGGGCUUACAACAGCAACAGAAUUCUCAGCUAUUCUUGCCAGCAAUGGUUCUAACCAGCCAUAGAAGCAUUCACCUAUAGAAAA
RNAcentral lists this long non-coding RNA (414 nucleotides) under Gallus gallus (chicken). The record is from RNAcentral. Lineage: Eukaryota; Metazoa; Chordata; Aves; Galliformes; Phasianidae.